This 21-nucleotide non-coding RNA is filed under the name Caenorhabditis elegans. The record is from RNAcentral. Lineage: Eukaryota; Metazoa; Nematoda; Chromadorea; Rhabditida; Rhabditidae.
UCUUCGUGAAUUCUCCACAAA